AGAGUUUGAUCCUGGCUCAGGACGAACGCUGGCGGCGUGCUUAACACAUGCAAGUUGAACGGAGCACAUUAAGUAGCAAUACGAGGUGUGCUUAGUAGCGGACGGGUGAGUAACGCGUGAGUAACCUACCUUUGUGAGGGGGACAACAGCUGGAAACGGCUGCUAAUACCGCAUAAGGCCACGACUCCGAUUGGAGACGAGGUAAAAGAUUUAUCGCACAAAGAUGGACUCGCGUCCCAUUAGCUAGUUGGUGAGGUAACGGCCCACCAAGGCGACGAUGGGUAGCCGACCUGAGAGGGUGAUCGGCCACACUGGAACUGAGACACGGUCCAGACUCCUACGGGAGGCAGCAGUGGGGAAUAUUGGGCAAUGGGCGAAAGCCUGACCCAGCAACGCCGCGUGAGGGAAGAAGGUCUUCGGAUUGUAAACCUCUGUCCUUGGGGACGAAAAAAAUGACGGUACCCAAGGAGGAAGCUCCGGCUAACUACGUGCCAGCAGCCGCGGUAAUACGUAGGGAGCGAGCGUUGUCCGGAAUUACUGGGCGUAAAGGGUGCGUAGGUGGCCUAGCAAGUCAGAUGUGAAAUCCCCGGGCUUAACUCGGGGGGUGCAUUUGAAACUGCCAGGCUUGAGUGCAGGAGAGGAAAGCGGAAUUCCUAGUGUAGCGGUGAAAUGCGUAGAUAUUAGGAGGAACACCAGUGGCGAAGGCGGCUUUCUGGACUGUAACUGACACUGAGGCACGAAAGCGUGGGGAGCAAACAGGAUUAGAUACCCUGGUAGUCCACGCUGUAAACGAUGAGUGCUAGGUGUAGGGGGCUUAGGACCUCAGUGCCACAGCUAACGCAAUAAGCACUCCGCCUGGGGAGUACGGUCGCAAGACUGAAACUCAAAGGAAUUGACGGGGGCCCGCACAAGCGGUGGAGCAUGUGGUUUAAUUCGACGCAACGCGAAGAACCUUACCUGGGCUUGACAUGUUAGUAGUAAGAACCCGAAAGGGGGAUGACCUGUAGCAAUACGAACACGGAGACAGGUGGUGCAUGGUUGUCGUCAGCUCGUGUCGUGAGAUGUUGGGUUAAGUCCCGCAACGAGCGCAACCCUUAUCCUCUGUUACCCCGCAAGGGGGUCUCUGAGGAAACUGCCGGCGAUGAGCUGGAGGAAGGUGGGGAUGACGUCAAGUCAUCAUGGCCCUUAUGUCCAGGGCUACACACGUGCUACAAUGGCCGCUACAGAGGGAUGCAAGACCGCGAGGUGGAGCAAAUCCCUAAAAUUCGUCGUAGUUGGGAUCGGAGUCUGCAACUCGACUCCGUGAACCUGGAAUCGCUAGUAAUCGCGGAUCAGAACGCCGCGGUGAAUACGUUCCCGGGCCUUGUACACACCGCCCGUCACACCACGAAAGCCUGUUGUACCCAAAGUAGGUGCGCUAACCCGCAAGGGAGGCAGCCUCCUAAGGUAUGGCCGGUAAUUGGGGUGAAGUCGUAACAAGGUAACC
Molecule: ribosomal RNA, 1486 nt
Filed under: uncultured bacterium
Lineage: Bacteria
Description: partial 16S ribosomal RNA
Rfam family: Bacterial small subunit ribosomal RNA
Source: RNAcentral